This is a long non-coding RNA of Harpegnathos saltator (Jerdon's jumping ant), 1539 nucleotides long. RefSeq lists it as uncharacterized. The record is from RefSeq and is a predicted model, not a curated record. The transcript is spliced from 3 exons. NCBI's taxonomy places the organism in Eukaryota, Metazoa, Arthropoda, Insecta, Hymenoptera, Formicidae.
AUAAUCGUGAAAGUUUCGCAAUCUGAGCGACUGCUGCGUGCAAGUUUGUCGGCAAAAGUCCACAAUCGUGGACAUUUCAGUGUGCAGUUUGCAACAGCAUCGGAGAAAACACUAACCUAAACUAAUCCGAAACGACUUGCAGCUCGUAUCUUCACUAGAGAGAAUCGUUCGUUUCCAGGUAUCGCCAACUGAUACUGGAUCCUCAUGCUCCGCAGCGGGAUUGACACGCUCGUUUGUCAGCAACGUCUUGUCCUUGUGAAACACGAUCAACGAACGACGUCCAUUACGCGGCUUUGUUUGCGAUCCUUUCGGCGAACUCGGUCAGCCAAGUUCACGGCGGACCGUGGCGGCGAGUUGCGCCGCGAAUUUGGGACGAGAUCAGCCGGCCCCGUAAUUUUCCGUAAUUUCGUGCGAAUUAUGCACGUCCACGAUCCUCGGCGUACGCGGACGAACGCGGCCGCGCGUGUUUCCUCUGUUUCCAUGAGGAACGAUCGAGAAACGGUCAGCAGUCCCUUCCGGGCUUUGACGAAGAUACCUUUGAUGAUUUAUUUCGUCGGAAACGCGACAUUCCUUUUCCUUUCACGCAGCUUCAACGUUCCAUCGGUUCGUUACUCUCGUGGCCCACAAAGAAUUCGAGAUUCGUCCAUGUGGGCAGCGCGAAGGAUACCGGGGAGCAAAGAGCAAGGCGAGAGAGAGAGAGAGAGAGAGAGAGAGGGGAGAUUGAUCUCUCGCGUUCGAUCAAUCCUGAAUAAUUCGUCGAAGCGCGCGCGGUCCCAGAAAUGAGUUACGCGGCGAUAGCAGCCGUAAUCCAUUUGCGUUAUCCGGCCGGAGGAAAGUUCUAAUUAGCCGUGCGCCAAUUGAAAUCGUAAGAGGCAUUAGUCGACCGCAGUUAGCGGGCGCAGUCGUAGCGCGGCGUAUUAAUUGACAUUAAUUGAGUCCGAGACGGCAUCAAUACGGCUCUCGCAUAUACUGUCCCCGCGUGCGAACGUGUCUUUCGGUCGCGAUGCUUCCAGAUCAACUUUCGGCCAGAUCAACAUUCCCCUCAUUCCGCAGGAAGGAAGGAAGGAAGGAAGGUUUCAGGUGCUGCGUGUCUCUCCCUGAACUCUCAAGUUCCCCGCGCUCUAGCAUUUUCUCGAGAAUUUUGCACUUUCACAGUAACGGGUUGGACACGAUUGGAUCGCAAGCAAAAUUAUUUGCCAAGUAUCGCACCACUCUGGCUGAGAGAGUGUUCGCUCCCGAAGCAAACCGAAAUGGCACGAAAAGACCAAGAAGUGGCGUUACAGAACAAGCUUUUCACGAAGAACAGGAGGGUUUGUUGGGGUAUGGCCCUAGAAUAGCUGAUUAACACCAAACAAUUAUCAACAAGACAAGUUAGGGGCCGGAGACAAGUUGAGGAUGGUCACCAUCGAGAGAAAACUUUUCUGAGGCGACUCUCGCGACGAGCAAUUUUUUAAUACAUUUUUCUUGUAAAAAUCAUAAAUGUAGUAAAAUGUUGGGGGAACAAGAUACUGUAUAAAUUCAAUAUCGAUAGAGUUGAUA